Long non-coding RNA from Gasterosteus aculeatus aculeatus (three-spined stickleback), 11610 nucleotides. The record is from Ensembl. NCBI's taxonomy places the organism in Eukaryota, Metazoa, Chordata, Actinopteri, Perciformes, Gasterosteidae.
CAACAGAAUGCAACGCUGGGGAGAGGCAGUGGGUUAUUUAUAUAUGUCUCUAGGUGAUUUGCUCUUGAGUUGAUCAGGUGGAAGCUGACUUCUUGUGACAGCCUCUUAAUAUGGCAGCACUCAGACAUCAGGCAAUGGACUGACCACGUGCAAACAGGACCACGCUGCCAGCAAGGACUCCCUAUUUCACUCCGUCAUUUCUCCCAAGCUCUCGUUUAGUCUCCUGUUGUCGCUGUUCUACUCCACGGUUAUUUUUAUUUUAGUUAUUUAUACACAGGAGGUAUCGUAAAAUGACUAUUGUACCACAAGCAAGAAACAAAAAAGGAAAAUAUUACCAGCAAUGCACGUGGUAUAUUUCCUCUUUCUUUACCUCUCAUAUUAUUCAACUCUCUCUCUUAUUACAUGUUAUUUCAUGUAAAGAAAUAACAUUAAAUGAACAAGCCUCCCCACAGAGACAUUGACACGUUGGGUGCAGAGAGACAUCCAUGAACACGGAACCUGGCCACCGUCAGAAAAAAACUUUUGUUGUGCCUUUCGCAUUCGCAUUCACGAUGCAGACGCAACAUUUGCGCCGCCGCUCAGAUCUGUCGUCAACUUUCAUUUGGCUCUGGCAGUUUUCUGUGCUCAGUGAUGCCUUGUGGGACGAUUUGAUCAGGCAGGUCGGACAAAAGCAAUGCAAAAUGCAGGCAUUCAAAAUAAAACCUGUAACAUCCUUUAGAUAAUACCUUGUCCUGCCCUAAUAUUACCUUAUUCCAUCUUUUCGUAUCUGAUCCUCUUAGAUGCUCUUUGUACUUCAGUGCGUUGCAGGCCAAUGGGCGGCUCGCCCAUUUAGCUUCUGUGGCAGGAGCCCACAGCACCAUCAGAAAGAGAGGGCUCAAUUGAUGGGAUUAGUUGGCUGAGCUCAAAUUCAAUUUCAAAUUCCAGGAGGACCCUCAACGUCUAAGCCAACAUUUCACUGGAGAUGAGCAGCGAACAAGUUUUCAUCAAAGUCAUCUGCAAAACGUAUUGUAUUAUUUAAUCUGUAUGUUACAUGCGAGGGUAAUUGUUGUCUUUCAGUACCUUCAAAACAUUUACAGAUGUUCGCGACAUUGCCUCCGGCUUUCCUUUCAGAAGGAACUCAAAUCAGUGUUGAAGCCUCUCAGAAUGUUGACAGCGCUCCAAGAAACACAUUAACAUGCAGUUGUGUAAAAUUCAAAUAAAGUGCUGUGAAUGUUUUCCAUGUGUCCGUCGUAACGUUUGACGAGAAAUGAAUUGGCCCGGUUGGGUGGAAGUGAAGUACUCAGUGAAAAUGGAAGUAGAUGUGAAUUGUUUGUGAAAGAGGAGGGACAGAGAAGGGAAGGAGCAGAGAGCACGCUGUCAGCAUGGAGGACUACUCCACCUUUUCAUCUCCCCAUGUUUAGGCUGAAGGUGGUGGAUCCUCAGGCAGUGCUGGUCACCAAGACAUAACUUCCACUGGGAACCAUUUCAUCUGCCUUUGUUUGCCAUCGUUGGAAACCACUUCUAAACAAAUUAAAAGUAGGGAGCAAAACAGAAAUGCUAACCUGUGUUGGUAAAGGUUUUGUUCAUUACUGGCAUAGAUAAAUAUUGCUGUAACACCAAGAACGUAGUUAUCCUAAAGUAGUUUAUUGUGUGCAAAUCAAUACUUGGCAAACCGACAACGCAUUAAGGGGUGGGAAAUUGCACAAUGAUUAGCUAAAACCUUUCCGCAGAUUCAGAUACUUCUCUGUUAGAAGUGCCAUUACUGUCUGCAUUUCAUACAACUCAAGAAAAAGUAUUUUCCGCAAAAAUAAGAGUGUGGCGGCUUGACCCACACUCGGUUCUCUGUCACUUACACAAUGAAACAUUAACAUUAACGCCUUGAAGGGUAUAUCGCAAUUCAUUUAAUCUAGUGGCCAUUAUACUUGCAAACAAUGUGCUUGUUUAUCAUAACAGCCAAGGAUGCCCUGGACAGACAAGCUUGUUUAUGUCUCCUUGUCUUUGGCUGAGUGUCCUCACUUGAUAAAUAUCCCAUUAACUCCUCUGUUCCACUUAGCAGUCGGGCCAUGUGGGACUCCACUGUGACCACACACACACACACACACACACACACACACAGUUUUGCAUGCUCAUGUUCAUCUAAAUGGUCUUGUCAAGUCUUGCACACACAGGGCAGUGACACAAAAAAGCCUUGUUACCGAUCUCUCUCCAUUUCUUACCCCCACAAACACACAAAUGCACACUUGUUGAUAAACUGUAUAUUUUUGGUGUCCUCGUGGGACUGCUGUGUCACCUAGUUUGCAGGAUUAUGUAUCACCUCCAUCGACGCAGGUCUCCUUACAAGUUUGCAAAGUCCUCUUUACUCCCGCCCCCCCACACUGACACCGCUUUGCUUGCUAAAUUAGUAUAGAGAACAUUUUAAAAAGCCCUCUGUGAGCUGUCAACACAAUGCUUCAGCCAUUCAUCCUCCAUGCCACGCAGGAUUUAGGAAAAAGAGGAGGACGUAAUUCACGAGAGCAAAUCAAAUUCGGCAGCCGCAGGUCUCUCAAUUUGUAUUUAUUGCGUCCUUCUCGGCUUCAUUGGACUUUCCAGAUCCCUCCAACGAAGGAGGGAAGAUAAAAAACGUUAUUCCUUCAAGAGAAUGUUUGUCGAAUGUUGAAUGUUUUAAAAUGUUGAUGCUUCAGAUAUAAAAAUGAUGAUAAUGGAAAGAGCAACACAUGUCACACCUGGUUAAUUCUAUGGUAACUUGUGAAAAAAGGUGAAAAAAAUGUCAACCCUCAGCCAGACACACAUGCUCAGUUUAGAAAAGGCAUUUUUAUACCCAUGCAUGUACCUAAUAUGGCCACUCCACAAACCAUUUGGUGUGUGUGGCCUGCGGCGCUGCCUGCUGUUUCAUGAAAUGUAAAUCUUCUGUACCAUUCAAUCAGUAGUCAUUUUACUUUCUCCUCCCGGAGGCAUUUCUUGGUGUGAUAUUACGGCGCGUAAUCAGUUAAAACGAAGUCGCAUUGAUAGAAUUUAAUACAAACUGCAGAGGAGUUUGGCUGCUUAUGCAACGGUAAAAUCUCUGCUGAGAUCACGUGACCACGACUUCUCACUUCAGGGCUCCUCGUGAACGGAGAACAGAAAGUAUAGAAGACAGCACUCCGACGCUGAUAUAAGGGAUGAAACAUUUCGUAUUCUGGAGAUGCACCGUCGUAGGAGAGAGAGGUGUCGUGGACUGCAUAGAUGCACAGUUCACACACACACACACAGUUCACACACACACACACACACAUGCACACACUGUGCCGGAGAAAAUGAAAAUGAAAAAUGCACGGACGGUCCUUCAGAUCUUCGACUAUGCUGGCGCCUGCACUGCCGAUGUGACUGUGGAGAAAAAGCGCACACAAGCCUUGUCCUCGUGUGAGGACGGACGUCGCGGUGAGAACAAGUGGUACGGCACGUGUUUUCCAUCGGGCUGCCAUCUGUAAGGUCAUCCCACCGGUAGUCUGUCGUCUUGGGCGGAUCACGAGACUCUCAGUUCACCCCGAAUAAAAGAGAUUUUAAAUAUUGGGCUGUGGGACGUGUAGUCUUUUCAGCUGGCUCUGAUAAACACAUGAAAUAUGUUUUUAAUUAAGUUAUUACAGUAAAGCAAAGCCAUAUUCAUUAUCGGUUGUUUGCCGACUUCAUUAACAUGAUCUCAUUGGUGGUGUAGUUUUUCCUCUGCCCCGGACAUCUCGUAGAGUUUCCUUGUCAGCAGGCGAACAGGUUUGCAUAAAAUACCGUCAGCCUCAGACACAUAAAGUAUUCCCUCCACAGAAAACAAACAUGAACCAGGCAAUGCUACUCCCACUCUGCACCCGGCGCAAACUAGUCACAUGUCUCUAAUUCAGUGGAGUCUUGGGAGCAUUAGAAAUAAAUUGGAGUCAUUUUUCAACUUGCACAGGCUUUGUGUCAGAGAGAGUCGAUAGUCGGCUAAAUACACGGUGUUAGAAGUCCGGCUCUGGUGCUGUAGGUUUGGCUGCAGGCCAUUAUCGGAGGCCUCAUGCGACACAGAUCUAUCGGCAUCUGUACCUUAGGUGGAGAUUAGUUCUGAGAGCGAAGGAGCCUGCGAACGCUGGGGAGAAAGAGGUAACAAGACCUCUCCGCUGUGUCUGCGAGGAGGGAAGGAGUAAUUGUGCUGAGAGGUUGUCGUUAGGGCCCUUCACCUCAGCAUCUACCCGGACUGGAACAAACAAUUGUCAAAGGGUAGUUAUAGUUAUACAUAACUGAAAAUCAGUCAACUAGUUGAAUUCACUUUAACCCAAAGUAUAACCCCAAAUUAAAAGUAAACCACUAAAGUAGUCUUGUAAAACUGGAAACGAAAGGCAAAUAGAACUAUUUUCCAAGUCUAGGCUUGAUGAAGUCUUCAAAUAGUUGACGAUUUCAACAAAAUGUAAUGAAAAAACUUUACUAUUGUGAAGUAACUUUAUUACAAUACAGUUCUCCAGUGAUCUGAAUGUAACAAACACGUCAUUUACUAAAAAAGAGGACCUGAGUGACAAGAAUUGAAUACAAAAAUGCCUUAAUCUGAUACCGAAAUAAACUAAACUGAAUAACCCAAAUAAACCUAAUGAAAAGUAAUAUUCUGGGGGCAUUAGAUUGCAUCGGUAUAUUAGAAAAACAGCAUUUUUCUACAUUUCAGUAGUUAUAAAGAAAAUCUCAUAUCGCAAGGUCAGGUCCGGUAUUCAGGUCUCUUCUGAGCCAACUACACUGCAAGUUUUAACAGAAAUAAAAUAAACUUCAAUAGAUAUAACUACAACUUUAACAUUUUUGCCUUUUAAAAACAUUUUAAAGUUGUAUAGACACUAUGAACACAGUGUUAGGGCGACUACAUAGCUUUGUUUCCAGCUGUCUUCCAGAUGUUGUUGGUAUUUUGUUAUGCAGCUGGUCUUUCUCUUUUUUGUGGCGGGUUCAGUGAUUCGAGGUCGCCACUGGUCGACGACCUCGAAUCCCAAUCUGAGUCCGAUUUCGGAGAGAGAUUUAGCAUGAAACCAGGAUCAAUGGAGGACAUUUAAGGUCACUGCAUGUUACUUCAUCUUUGUCUAAUAAGGAUUUGUUUAACCGCCAAAGAAAUAAAUGUAAUUAAACUCCACGGACAGACUCUGCUGGUAAUGUUAGCAAGACUGGUGAUCAUUUUCUCUCGAGUCAUUAAUAAGCGAGCUUAUGACCAAUCAUGUGUCAACUACACUUUAGUGGGUCGCCUUAUUGGAUCAAUAAUCACAUAUAAUUGCAGGCUGUGUUGGCGCGCUUUCUUCCAUGAAUUACAGUACAUGCUAAAAAGUCUCACACGAUGUGACAGAAAAAGACAAAACUCUUCAAAGCGCCGUUCCAAAUAGAUGCACGGCGGAGGACGUCUCUCUAUUGUCACGAGGAUGACAUGCACAGCUGCAGCUUAAGGUGUCCGCUUGUACAAAUCCUACAGUGAAUCUUUUUACAGUGCUGGUAGAGGAAAUAGAAAUGAUCAUAGCAUAACACACCCACGGAAAAAUCAAAACGCCACAGUGGGAUAAAAGCGAAGAGAGAGGUUUGAGAUUUGUGGGUUAUAUCGUUGUGCGCGGCCCCAGAGAGGAGUGGAGGAGAGUGGGAGGACUGAUUGUCUUUGUAGAGGCUCAUAAAGUGCAGGGUAAUUAGUGCUAAUCAUGCCGUGCUGUCACCUAGGCAGCUGUGAUUAUCUGACUUCUAUUGUUGCCGCCGCUAUCGUCCUCACUCCUUUGUUCACGAGUGUGACAGGACAGCUCGUCUCUUCACCCGUCUCUCCGUCUUUGUUGCUUUCCGACCAACAACGUGUCAACAAAGUCGCCGUGUACGGUCAAUCCUUUGCAUAAACCACCACUCAAGGUGUUGACGUCUGUUCCCUAGUGACCAACUGUCACAAUCUACCUGUGCGAAUUAGCACAGAUGAACAGACCCCCCCCCCAACAAAUAACAAUAAAAACAAUACAGAAGAGGCCCUUCAUCCAUUUAUCCUCACUGCAUUCUGACAGCGACGCUGCAGUCAGGGCUUUGUGCCGCAGAACUGUCCAAGGUGCUGGAUUAUACUCCCUCUGACUAAUGCAGCCUGUGCGCCGGGAUGAAUACGCAAUAACAGCUUCAUAAAUGACACGACUAACAACAACAUAAGCUGGUGUUUAGAGAAUAUGUUGAUUUAGAUCACUCUCAACAAUCAGUCAAAUCCAGCAGGGGAUGCGCGGUUUGCAGCUGUCAAGGGUGUGAAAGUAUGAAGCGUUCAGUUUUAACAUCUCAUUUUCAUGUGUUUCAUUAUUUGUACGGAUUCAUAAAUGGUAUCUGCCUGUUACGUGUGCAGCCCAUACAUUAGGAAGAUUCCUCGCGGUUGCGUGUGAUCUUUCGUUAAUCUUGUCUUGCAUGUGCGCGGCUGUGUGGGUGUGUUGGUGUUAUGUUCCUCUUAGCAUCUUUUACAAAAGGCUUGUUAAUUUCAACCUUCUAUUAUAGUUAUCAUCCUUUAUGUGAAAUGAAAACUUCAGGGUCGGGCUCAUUAUUAGGCCACUCUGAUGAGCGCUGCUGUGUUGGACGAUGCUGUCCAGGGACGGAAGUAAUACAUGAAUGAGAGGUGAAGUAAUCUUUGUGCUUUGCUCUGUAUUUACAGCAGGAGCCCCACAUCCCUGCUACCACCUAAACUUUCUUAGACCUGCUUUCAUGAACUCACAGUCAGGUUUAACCCACGUGCACUUUAAUUCGAGGUUACAGGCAUUGAGUUAAAGGGGACGUGUUCCCUGCAUGUCUUAAAGUGUUGUGCACCGGCGUGAUUGAUAAGCUCACCCUCACGCUCCCUCUGGCAAACACACCUGAGCCCCAGACAUGUGAAACCGGCGGCUCCUUUUGUUCCUCUCCUCCAGGUAGUGAGCCACAAUCUGGAGACAAUAGGUUUAGUGGGAUUAUAAAGGGCGUCAAAGGAGUUUCCAUGGAUCACAAAGCUCACAACCAAUCCACGGACAGCUCUCUGCUUCCUGUAACAACGCGCCGAUCGUUCACCUCGUCUGGUCGGAGUAAGCAGCCGGGGGAGCUGGGGACCUACGCGCAGGGUCAGGAAGACGGUCCGGGUCAAUGUUCUGGAGCCCUGAACAGAAAACCCAAUUAUCUCAGCAUUUCAGUCCAGCCUAAUUAGGCUUGACUGAUGUGCUGCGGAUUCAUUGUGUCUCUAAUUAAGUGCCUAUCAGCGCCAGAGAAGUAAUGUCUUUAUGGUACAUCAAAACCAAGCUGCACUCUGCUGACAUGAUUGAAAAACUAUCCUUUGGCAAUCUUCCGGAGUGGGGAGGGGGGGUCGCGUGGAGGUUGUUGUGUCUUUCAUCUUGUGGGCUGCCAGGGACAGAAUGUGUCGUGGAUUUGAGAUGGAGGUCUUUCUCAACCACCAGGAGAAACUAAAGACAGAGUAUGACAUCUUGAAGGAGUAGAAUUGAUGUUUUCUAUAUCAGUAAAGGAUAUGGGCUUCUAAUCUAAAACACCAAAUGUAUUAAUGUUGGAAAAUGUGCAGGUGCAAGGACUGCAUUUAGAUUAUCACAUGAUAUCUGCACAUACAACAUGAAUACAGAUCUAAUUAUUGGUCCUUCAGAAUAGACUGACUACAGAUGAACUACUUUUAAUAAUUUUGCAUAUUUUUCAGCUUUAUUUUGAAGAAGUACUCUUAAAAUGGGAUACUUCACACAAAAAUAGUUCUAGAGUUGAUUCAAGGACAAACACAGAGUACGUGGACUUGCAAUGCCGUCUUGACCUGGAGGAAAGUUUCCCAACCUUCGGGUAUUCUCUUUGAAACAUUGCCUUGGUGAUGCCAAUUCAUAAACAGUGCAUUCAUGCAUCAACGGGAACGGCUCGGCAAAGCUGCAAAGAAUGUUCUGCACACAGACACCAGGAAACACGUCCCAACCACUCUAACAAAGUGGCACAGAUAGUCUGGCUUUUGACCUUAAUCGACAUCAUGAAUGUAUGUCCCACUCCACAGAAAACCAAAAUAGAGCACUGUGAUUUUUUUUAAGGCAACAACAUUUAUGAAGAAUACAUGUGAUAACCAGCCACAUUGCAGUAGAGUCUAGAGAUUAUAAAACAAAAACAGAUAACGUAGCAGUUUGUCUCUUUUAUUUUCUUACUUUCAUUAUUAUUAUUUCUUACAGCCGGACUUUGCAUUCACACAUUUUCAGUUUCCAAGAGUUGAAAUAAAUUAACACAUGAAGACAUUUUUCAAAGCCAAAAGGUUAUAAAUAUAAUAAAAGAUUAUAUUUCUUAUACAUAUUAAUCCACAACGUUUUUCCUAUCAUAAAUAAUUCAUUGUGUUAAUGCAAAGAGGUUAAAUAGACCUUUAUAUUUCUUUCAGUCUUUGGAGAAAAGGGGCAUAAUUUUGCUCAUGUAUAUUUAGUACGAUUGAAUGAAUAGCAUUACUUUAAUUAAUUAUUAAUUUGACUCACUGAAAUGAAACAUCCGUAGCGUAGAAUAUUCAGUAACCCAAUAUAUACGCAUUAUGGGAUAAGUUUGUAUGUUUAUUGAUUAGAAUUUUGAUAUUUAAUGACUUAAGGAAGUGCCUUCGAGUUUUCAUUCAUAGUAAAAUGAUUAGUUUUCCAUUUAGAUUUAAUCAGAACAUGGGAUUAGAAAUGCAUUCGGGUACAUCGUUUUGUUAAAAACAAGCUGCUACGUUUGAAAGGAACGAGAGGAGCCGAUGUGAUCGGCCAUCGCGGAAGUUAUUCGACACCAGAACCAUGUUCCCCCCCAAAGUUCAUUCUCCUGCAUGUUUGCAGGCUCCCGGCCGCUCCCCAGUCGAUGGGCCCUCAGCGGUGUGUUCUGUUGUGCAGACCAAUUUGGAGUCACCCAACGUGCCGGGGCAAAAUCAAUAUCAGUAUGACUCUGGGGACAGUGACCAGUGUUCCAAACAGCUUUCUAACGAUAGGACCUUUUCACAGUAUCAAUGGCAGAUAAUUGGCACAAAGUUAUGACAAAAUAACUGUGUUUUUUUUAAGGACGACUAUUUUUCAAUCUCGGCAUCAUUGAUUCACUUUAAAUUUAUGAAAUAUGUAGCAGCACAAAUCAUUAAUUGCUUUGAAUGUCUGUCAGAGGAACUUCAUGGCGGUGUUUACAUGUUUACAAUCAUUUAUAUUUAUGGAUAACGGGGAAGAAAUAGACCCAGGUAAGAAUUUGAUCAGAGUAAAAUAUUUUAUGCAUAGUGUGUCACAAUGACUGACGGAGUCUGUCGCACUUGAAGUCGAUCCAUCACUCAAGAGCCCCACUUUGAAUUCAGCAAGAAGAGUCACUGUGCCUUUAAUUUGUAAAUCCUUCUUGCAGGGCACUUAGCUCUGUACAUCUGAAUGUACGUGUGUGUGUGUGUGUGUCUGGUGGGAUUUUAUUUUAUCGUCCAGUGAAGCAGAAAUACGGGAGGCAGUUGGAGAGCUUUGCUGCUGGGAGACAUUUAGAGGAGCUGUGCAGGUUUCUCUUGGGGGGAAAUGGGCACUCGUAGGCAGGUGAUUGCCUGAAUAGCCCUAAACCGUACUUUUAGUUUGUCCCAGUCAAAAGAUGAGUCCUUCCUCUGUGAAAGCAAUUGGUGAAAAGAUGGAGAAAAAUAAGAAAACUCUGGGGGGGAUGGGAGGAGAGGGGGGAGCUUACAAGGCAGCAAAAAACCUUGAGACGGACCCAAGCAAACAUGUUCCUCUUAUUCAGCUGUCGUUGAACAUCUGACAUCACUCAUGUUGGCUGCGACAGUAAUACGCGAGUGGGAACAGAGGGAGAGAAGAGGACAGACUGUACGUUUAUAUGUGAAGGAGCGGUCAGACCUUCACCGCUGAACAGUCCCGAGACGGCGAGAGCAGCUCUGCUGUUUUUCAUCUUUUUGACAGAGAGGCCCGACACUUGUUUUUUUGAGGCAGGGCUGUCAUUAUCAAUAUUCACUGUACGCCGCGGAACAGCGUCGGAGUGAUUGAGUGAGUUGUCGCGGGGAUUCGCAUUCUUCAUCGGCCAUUUAUUUGAAUCACUCCAAACUGCAAUCAACAUUUGAAUGAAAACCGUUUCAAAUAUUGUAACCCUUAAUCAUUUUUAAUUCUCACUGAAUAAUGGAUUUGAUUGUCCCUGUUUGUAGAAGAAAAAGGACACAAAACAAAGCACACAUUAUGUAGAAAUGUGGACACAGUGGGGAUGGUUUUAUAUUAAAUAGAAACGUAAUGUAGAAUUUAACACUUGAAUUAAGGCUGCAUCUUGUGAAUACUGACUCACUACUGCCCGACUUCUGCUUUGCAUUUAGAUGACAAUCUCUAAUGAAAAUCCCUUGGAUCAACAACGGCUGUGUGCCGAAGUUAAACCAAAGAAUCCUUUGUGAUGUUUACUCACUCUUAAAGGCUGGACCACACUUCUCCACAAUCCAGUUUCCCUCAAGUACAGUUGUGAAGGUUAAUGAACUAGUGACCACAUUAUCAGUUCUACGGAGCUCUGUAUUUAAAAUGUUGUGUAGCUUUAAUUGGUUUGUAUCCCUACGGUUGAGUGCACUUAUUGUAAAUCGCUUUGGAUGAAAAUAUCAGCUAAAUGACAUGUAAUGCAAUGCAAUGUAAUUAAUAAUAGUCUUAUAUUUUUCCUAUAAAUAUAGUAAGUAUGUAUAUUGUGUCUAUAUAUAAAUAUAUGCAAAAAGGAAAAUAAUAGAAAUAGAAAUAGAAAUGAAUACACAUACCUUUAUUCAGGUACAUGUAUUCAUGUGAGUUUUCUAUCUUGUUUCUUUUUGUGUCGAUUUUGUGGAGCUACGAUCACAAAGGCUUUACUGAGAAAUGCAUCAUUUUUUCUCAGCUUUUGUAUGUAGGAUGGCAGACUUUGACGAACAUGUUCAAUCAGCAGGUGUCUCUGUUUGCACUGACAUUCAUUUUUUAAAGUUGCGUUCACAUAAUCCAGAGGAUUAUCUGCUCCUGGUGAUGUAAUGACGCGCUCUAAGCUCACAGCAGAAUAAAUCCUUCCGAUUGAAGCCCGCAAAAUCAGUGAGCUUGUUUUUGAUUUUGUGGGACUAUGAGUGGCUACAGUUUAUAUACUGCAGAGUUAUUGCCACAUUUAUUUCGGCCCCACAGUAAGACACGGGCCAUGCAUCAUUCAUGACGAACAGAACAUUGCCAAACGUUGAAAAAAAACCCUCUCCUUGGUUAUUUUCCUCUUCCCUGGAAAGAUAAAGGAAGCUAAUUUCUAUUGCAGCAGCCCCAUUGAGACGUACAAUCUCCAGUAAGAUCAAGGCUCUGCGUUUCUGUAAAAAAGCAUAAUUGUUUCCUUUCAGCAUGUACCCAGCCCACGUUGACCAUUUAUUUCACCACUUCCCUCUCGAAUAGGAAAUUUCGCCUCAGAAAGCACAGGAGGUGUUUCUCAUUUUAUGCUGUGCAGAAACCUGUCUGACAUGGAUUGAAUUUGACGCGUGAAGAAAAGAAUCACAUCUUCUCGGUACUUUCAGCAGGGGUUCCUCUUCUGACACGAGCAUUAAACAAAUCACAAAUGCAUUGGCCUGCUGAAAGUGGACCUCGGCAAGUUAUGUUUUUUCAAUAACAGCAAUCUAACGCUGCACCCUUGCCAUGCCUGUCUGUUUUGAUUGCUUUGAUGGGGAGGGAAAACAACAUGUUUUCAUUUUUCUCAGGAAACGGGCCACAACUUGUUAUAUAU